UCAGUUCAGUUUAUACUUUAUAGAUUAGGUUUUUUUUUUUGCUAGUAUGGAAUUACAAGGGCAUGCUUGUAAUUUUGCCGUGCACCUCUAGCAGUUGAAGCUGCCAGCAUGAUCUAAACUUGCCUCCUUUUUUGGGUUGAGGAAAGAUCAGAUCAUGUGGCAGCUUCACCUGUUGGUUGGUUGCACGAAAAAACCUUAAUUUCUCACAAACCCUACUUGCCUAGAUAAUUUUGUUCCCAACCAUGAAAAGGAUAGCAGAUUCCUGUUACAUAUAUCUUAAAACAUCAGAUCAGAGACAAAGAUCUGAUUUUUGGCACAAGUACUUGGUUGGCCUCACUUCUGUCACAUGAAUUUCGAUUCUCAGUUUUGGGAUAAUGUUUUUUAUUUUAAUUUCUUGUAAUGUCUGGGAAAUUACACCAGCUUAGCUUGAUGAUGUAAUUAAUGUUGUCAAAAACUUAGCAUUUAUAAUAUAUGGUUGUACAGAACAACAAAUGCAUAAUGCAUGUGAAUGAUGUCCCUGCAGAUCAGGCAACUUCUUGUAAAGUAUUAGAAUAGGAUUAUCUGUUAGUUCUUAUAGUUUGAAUAAUAUUAUGUUUUUUUUCUUUCUAUUUUUUCUCUUGUGAAACAGUUCCAUAUAAUGGUAAUAUCAUUCUUCAUCAA
Ipomoea nil (Japanese morning glory) is the source of this 660-nucleotide long non-coding RNA. RefSeq lists it as uncharacterized. The transcript is spliced from 2 exons. The record is from RefSeq and is a predicted model, not a curated record. NCBI's taxonomy places the organism in Eukaryota, Viridiplantae, Streptophyta, Magnoliopsida, Solanales, Convolvulaceae.